Molecule: long non-coding RNA, 1517 nt
Organism: Cyprinus carpio carpio
Lineage: Eukaryota; Metazoa; Chordata; Actinopteri; Cypriniformes; Cyprinidae
Source: Ensembl
AUGCAUCCGUUACCGGAUUGUGAUAGAUGUACACUAAUAAAUUAUCACUGUAUCAAAAAGACCGAAGCCCUCUGGUGCCCAGGGAAGAAUAAAAAAGAAAAGAAGAAGAAGAAAAAACGGGACAAAGACAGAGAUGGCGCACGGAAUAUAGAUAUUGUAAUACCAAGUGGGCUCUGCAUGGGAAACCUGGUUGCGUGCUGCACUCUAGAGGGAACAUUCAGCAUCAUUCCUCAGUUUUGCACAGGAUGACAGUGAGCCUGCUUUGAUACACCCAAAUUACCUCUAAUGUAACCCUUCUUUUUCCAGUCUUCACAAAAUUGCUUUACUUAAUUGAACUGCACCUGUGUGCAAUUGUGAUUUUUGAAAAAUAUGGGUCAGGGCAAAUAUUAUUAGACUGUAUAUGGAAUGAGUGCUAAAACUGGCUUUUCUCCAAAACAGGCUUUAAGAAACAUACUGUAGAAGGCCAGCACACGCCUAUGGAAACCCUAACGAAAUUGCAGUCCAAAGAGGUGGGAGGAAAUGGACAGGAUAUGACGGUAUCAUGCAUGCUUCAAAGAUCUAGGUUUUUUUUUUGUUUGUUUGUUUUUUUUUUUUGGGUGUGAGCAAAGCAGAGAGGAAUGAGGACAUUUUUUUUUUUAAACGAAUUAAUACUUUUAUUCAGCAAGGAUGGAUUAAAUUGAACAAAAGUGACAGUAAAGACAUACAAUAAUAUUUAUAUUCAUCAAAGAAUUCUGUAUCACAAUUUCCACAAAUAUAUUAAGCAGCAUAACAGUUUUCAACAUUAUUAUUAUUAUUAAUAAUAAUAAUAAAAAUUGAGCAGCAAAUCAGCAAAUAAGAAUGAUUGAGUGACACUGAAAACUGGAGUAAUGGCUGCUGAAAAUUAAACUUUACUAUCACAAGAAUAAAUAAUAUUUUUAAAAUAUAUUAAAUUAUAUUAAAAUGUAUAUUAAAAUAUAUUCAAGUAAGUUUAAAUAAUAUUAUUUGACAAAUUAUCAUAUUUAAAUUUUCUCAUUUUCCAUCUUUCAAAUAGUUUUUUUUUUAUUGUUUUUUUUAUUAUUAUUUUAAAUCUUAACAAAGCCAACUUUUGCACGGUAUGUGCAUCUAAACUGUAAAUCAGAGAAAACAGUUGUAGGUUCAAGCUGUGUGGCUGACUGAAAUGAAGCAUGACAACAAUUUAUAAAUGUAUUAAUUUGACAAUUUAUAAAUGCAUCAUUCAUGCAUCAUUCAACAAGUGUUUUUAAAAAUAGUUUUUUUCUGAACCAAUAUUGAUCACUGUGUUUAAAAUGCAUAAUUAACAAAUAGUCCUUGUGUAAGCACUCAGACAAAGCCAAGGGUCAGACUGACUAGGACAGUUCAUGUCCUGAAGUCUGAAUUACUAAUAACAAAAAUUGCAAAGAACUUUAUUUACAUAAUUAAACAUCUCCCCCACAUAACAUGCAUCCCUGCUUUUUAUAGCACAUUUAGCAUCUGUUGUUUAAACAUUUUAUGGGGCUUUCUGAAAAUAUUUUUCAAUAUUC